GAAAAGAAAGUUUGCUUUAAUAAGUUUUGUAAAAAAAAAUAAAAAAAUUUUAAUUGAUUUAUUAAUUAGACAGAAUUGCAUUCAUCCCAAGGCAUAUUAUUGCAAAAGAAAAGAAAUUCUCCAGAUAAUGUUCUCAGAUUUUGUUUAGAUAUAGUUCGGUUUUUCGUUUAUCUGAAGUUUUAAAUCUAUAUAAAUCUAAAAAUGAUACGCACGAGACAUAACGCACGCAAUAAAUUUACCUUUAAGUCACUGAACACUGUUAUGAUAAACAUUUGAACAGAGGUGGGAGUAAGUCACACAUGUGCAAGUCACAAGUAAGCCUCAAGUCAUGAAUGUGAAGUCAAUGUCAAGUCGAGUCUUUUUUUAAUAUUCGUCAAGCAAGUCUCAGGUCUCAAAUUUGCGACUUAAGACUGACUCAAGUCAAGUCAUAUGACUCGAGUCCCCCAUCUCUGCAUUUGAAUACUAAUUAACUUGUGUAUGUGAAAAAAAAAAGCAUUUAAAUCCAUGUCAUGGCAGCUGAGACGAUGCAGACAAGGACUGAGCUGCUUCAUAAAGCUGCUUCUGCCUCGCCCUGACGGCCUACAAUCCUGUCCUGACACAGAACAGAGCUGAGUGCAGACACGACCUGAAGGCUUUUACUGUCUCUGUUCCUGAACCAGAACAUCAGGAUCUUCCUGCACAUACAGUAUAGUGAAGAGAGCCCUGGCAUGAAGCUUUUGGAGGAGCUUAUGGCAAAGCUGGAGUUUGAGAACGAGUUAAACCGAGUGUGUAACAGUUUCUCUGUGAACGGGAACACACCGCCGGGACAUGAGGAGACAGCGCAGGAAGUGAAGACAGUGGUGUGGAUGAAGGAGCUUCCGACGGAGAAGAUGAGAAGGACAUGAGUCUCAUGGACACAGUUCUGGACAUGGAGCAGGACUACGAGCUUUUACCUUUAAUAUGACCUAAUAUUCAUUGAGGGAAGAUGCUUAUAUUUAUUUAUUUAUUUAUUUAUUUAUUUAUUUAUUUAUUUAUUUAUUCAAUGCACUAUAAAUCUAGAUAAAUCUGUUUUUGAGAAUUUUCUCUGAGUUGUGACCUACUCCAUUAAUAGGUUGGCUGAUCAAAGAUGGGAAUAAUCUGAUGUUGAAACUUAUAUUGAUAUAUUAUACCUCCAAAAGGUUUUUUUGCCUUCGGAGGAUACACGAGAGUCUUACAACCUUAUACCGACUGCAAUAAAUACUUAAUCUUUAAUCUUCUAAGAUCAGGCUUUUUCCUGGCUACUGUGCCCCCCUGU
Tachysurus fulvidraco (yellow catfish) is the source of this 1273-nucleotide long non-coding RNA. RefSeq lists it as uncharacterized. The record is from RefSeq and is a predicted model, not a curated record. The transcript has 3 exons. Lineage: Eukaryota; Metazoa; Chordata; Actinopteri; Siluriformes; Bagridae.